AUUGAACGCUGGCGGAAUGCUUUACACAUGCAAGUCGAACGGCAGCACGGGAGCUUGCUCCUGGUGGCGAGUGGCGAACGGGUGAGUAACAUAUCGGAACGUACCCCGUCGUGGGGGAUAACUAUCCGAAAGGAUAGCUAAUACCGCAUACGUCCUGAGGGAGAAAGCGGGGGAUCGCAAGACCUCGCGCGAUUGGAGCGGCCGAUAUUGGAUUAGCUAGUUGGUGGGGUAAAGGCUCACCAAGGCGACGAUCCGUAGCGGGUUUGAGAGGACGACCCGCCCCCCUGGAAAUGAGACACGGUCCCGACUCCUACGGGAGGCAGCAGUGGGGAAUUUUGGACAAUGGGGGCAACCCUGAUCCAGCCCUUCCGCGUGAGUGAAGAAGGCCUUCGGGUUGUAAAGCUCUUUCAGCAGGAACGAAACGGUCGGCUUUAAUAAAGUCGGCUAAUGACGGUACCUGCAGAAGAAGCACCGGCUAACUACGUG
This 486-nucleotide ribosomal RNA is filed under the name uncultured bacterium. Its description in RNAcentral is "bacterial SSU rRNA". It matches the Rfam family "Bacterial small subunit ribosomal RNA", at positions 30 to 507 of the family's 1533-position model. The record is from RNAcentral.